CACGAAGUUAGCCGGUGCUUAUUCUUUGGGUACCGUCAUCCCAACCAGGUAUUAGCCGGCUGGAUUUCUUUCCCAACAAAAAGGGCUUUACAACCCGAAGGCCUUCUUCACCCACGCGGUAUGGCUGGAUCAGGCUUGCGCCCAUUGUCCAAUAUUCCCCACUGCUGCCUCCCGUAGGAGUCUGGACCGUGUCUCAGUUCCAGUGUGGCUGAUCAUCCUCUCAGACCAGCUACGGAUCGUCGCCUUGGUGGGCCUUUACCCCGCCAACUAGCUAAUCCGACAUCGGCUCAUUCAAUCGCGCAAGGUCCGAAGAUCCCCUGCUUUCACCCGUAGGUCGUAUGCGGUAUUAGCGUAAGUUUCCCUACGUUAUCCCCCACGACCAGAGUAGAUUCCGAUGUAUUCCUCACCCGUCCGCCACUCGCCACCCAGAGAGCAAGCUCUCCUGUGCUGCCGUUCGACUUGCAUGUGUUAGGCCUACCGCCAGCGUUCACUCUGACGCCAGGAUCAAACU
This 511-nucleotide ribosomal RNA is filed under the name uncultured Stenotrophomonas sp. Its description in RNAcentral is "partial 16S ribosomal RNA". Lineage: Bacteria; Pseudomonadati; Pseudomonadota; Gammaproteobacteria; Lysobacterales; Lysobacteraceae. The record is from RNAcentral.